RNAcentral lists this ribosomal RNA (460 nucleotides) under uncultured bacterium. Its description in RNAcentral is "partial 16S ribosomal RNA". It matches the Rfam family "Bacterial small subunit ribosomal RNA", at positions 338 to 795 of the family's 1533-position model. The record is from RNAcentral.
CCUACGGGAGGCAGCAGUGAGGAAUAUUGGUCAAUGGACGAGAGUCUGAACCAGCCAAGUAGCGUGAAGGAUGACUGCCCUAUGGGUUGUAAACUUCUUUUAUAUGGGAAUAAAACGUUCCACGUGUGGGAUUUUGUAUGUACCAUAUGAAUAAGGAUCGGCUAACUCCGUGCCAGCAGCCGCGGUAAUACGGAGGAUCCGAGCGUUAUCCGGAUUUAUUGGGUUUAAAGGGAGCGUAGCUGGAUUGUUAAGUCAGUUGUGAAAGUUUGCGGCUCAACCGUAAAAUUGCAGUUGAAACUGGCAGUCUUGAGUACAGUAGAGGUGGGCGGAAUUCGUGGUGUAGCGGUGAAAUGCUUAGAUAUCACGAAGAACUCCGAUUGCGAAGGCAGUUCACUGGACUGCAACUGACACUGAGGCUCGAAAGUGUGGGUAUCAAACAGGAUUAGAUACCCUUGUAGUC